ACCUGUUGCGGGCGGCAGCGAGAGGGUGCCCGCAACACCAGACAGAACACCGUGCCACGGGAACAUCGGGGCACUUCAGGGCGUU
Small RNA from Streptomyces sp. WM6386, 85 nucleotides. It matches the Rfam family "nrdJ RNA". Lineage: Bacteria; Bacillati; Actinomycetota; Actinomycetes; Kitasatosporales; Streptomycetaceae. The record is from Rfam.